GAUGAACGCUGGCGGCGUGCUUAACACAUGCAAGUCGAACGAGAAGUGAAGACGGAAACCUUCGGGCGGAAGGCUUUAUUUCGAGUGGCGGACGGGUGAGUAACGCGUGGGUAACCUGCCUCAUACAGGGGGAUAACAGUUGGAAACGACUGCUAAUACCGCAUAAGACCACAGCACCGCAUGGUGCGGGGGUAAAAACUCCGGUGGUAUGAGAUGGACCCGCGUUCGAUUAGCCAGUUGGCGGGGUAACGGCCCACCAAAGCGACGAUCGAUAGCCGAUCUGAGAGGAUGACCGGCCACAUUGGGACUGAGACACGGCCCAAACUCCUACGGGAGGCAGCAGUGGGGAAUAUUGCACAAUGGGGGAAACCCUGAUGCAGCGACGCCGCGUGAGUGAAGAAGUAUUUCGGUAUGUAAAGCUCUAUCAGCAGGGAAGAAAAUGACGGUACCUGAGUAAGAAGCCCCGGCUAACUACGUG
Molecule: ribosomal RNA, 478 nt
Filed under: uncultured bacterium
Lineage: Bacteria
Description: partial 16S ribosomal RNA
Rfam family: Bacterial small subunit ribosomal RNA
Source: RNAcentral